This 600-nucleotide ribosomal RNA is filed under the name uncultured Porphyromonas sp. RNAcentral's name for it is "bacterial SSU rRNA". It matches the Rfam family "Bacterial small subunit ribosomal RNA", at positions 152 to 751 of the family's 1533-position model. The record is from RNAcentral. Lineage: Bacteria; Pseudomonadati; Bacteroidota; Bacteroidia; Bacteroidales; Porphyromonadaceae.
CGAAAGACGGACUAAUACUGCGUACACUCACUUGGAGGCAUCUUUUAGUGAGGAAAGAAAUUCGGUGCAGGAUAGGCAUGCGUCCCAUUAGCUAGUUGGUGAGGUAACGGCUCACCAAGGCAACGAUGGGUAGGGGAACUGAGAGGUUUAUCCCCCACACUGGUACUGAGACACGGACCAGACUCCUACGGGAGGCAGCAGUGAGGAAUAUUGGUCAAUGGGCGGGAGCCUGAACCAGCCAAGUCGCGUGAAGGAUGACUGUCUUAUGGAUUGUAAACUUCUUUUGUAUGGGAAUAAAGGUAGGGACGUGUCCUUAAUUGAAUGUACCAUACGAAUAAGCAUCGGCUAACUCCGUGCCAGCAGCCGCGGUAAUACGGAGGAUGCGAGCGUUAUCCGGAUUUAUUGGGUUUAAAGGGUGCGUAGGCGGUUUGUUAAGUCAGCGGUGAAAUCUUGGGGCUCAACCCCGAAACUGCCGUUGAAACUGGCGAACUUGAGUGUAGAUGAGGUAGGCGGAAUUCGUGGUGUAGCGGUGAAAUGCAUAGAUAUCGCGAGGAACUCCGAUUGCGUAGGCAGCUUACUAAGUUACAACUGACGCUGAUG